Molecule: long non-coding RNA, 470 nt
Filed under: Mytilus galloprovincialis (Mediterranean mussel)
Lineage: Eukaryota; Metazoa; Mollusca; Bivalvia; Mytilida; Mytilidae
Source: RNAcentral
GAACUGCAUGCUUGCUUAAUAUGUAUAUUUUGUUUCUUAUAUUUAGCUUAUUAUUGUGUUAUUCGUUGACUUAUUGAAGGUGGUCCUGGGGGAUUCCUUAUUCUAAAUACUUGGGGUCACUCAGACUCAUCUGAUUUCUAAUCAUUACUUCGUCAGAGUUUCUUGGCACCUUUUCAAAUAUUUCACUUAUCAUUCAUAUUUUUCAUUCAUUUUCCAAGCAUUUUUCAUUUAACAUCUCCAACCUCAACUCAACACCUUAAAACAUUGUAGCCCACCGUCACGCGGGGGCUGGUCCACUGCCACGCAUGGGCCGUCAGAUGAAGCUUCGCUUUAUCAUUCUUUUGUCAGUUGUGUUGUUCAAGUUGAGCGUAGUGGCUUGUCAGCUGGUCUUCUUUCCACGAAAGAAUCGCUUCCUGACAAAGUCCUGGAGCAAAAUUAUUCGUCAGAUAGUUGAGUGAUUUCCCAAGGCC